GAAAAUUAAGGCCAAGAUUUUUUGCUAAUUUAAACAUAAUAUUUUUGGGCAGUUAAGGAUAGGAUUAUGAUUAGAAAAAUAAAGAUUAUUCUUUAAUGUAUUUCCAUGUAUAUUACAAAUGAUUUCUAAGAGUUCUAGUUGUACAUAUUUUUUUUCUUUUUCCUAUAUAUUUUGUAUCUAUUCAUAUUGUAAAGUAUCAAAAAAAGUCUUCCUCAAUAAAAUCUUUUAUUCAAGUUGUUAGAUAGUGUACAAUUAUUUAGGUUAUUUACUUUUCUUUUCCUUUUCUUUCCUUAUUGUAUUGUGGGUCCUACUAACAUGUAUAUAUAUACCCAAGUCCAAUGUGUAUUAUUAACAGUUUUUCAAUAACAAGAAUUAGGGAUUCUCCCUUUUCUCUCUUUUCACAUGGUAUCAGAGCCUAGGGAGAAAAAAACCCUAAUUAUUUCCGGUUUAUCCGUGAAUCAAUUCUGGGAAAUCUUUCAGUGACCGUGUUUCAUUCCGGUCACCUUUCCCAUCUCCUAAAGCUUUCCGAUCAACCGUAUCGCCGUCAAAAAACCCUCACCACCGGCGACUUUUCUGGCAACCUUUUUCUGACGAAGUCUUUUCCGACACCAACCAUACCAUCAGGUGCGCAAGGAGGAGAUCUUCAAGUUUUCUCAAAGCACCGGAGGGAGAUUCUCACCCACGCGCCGCCCAGCGCGUUUCUUCUCCGGCGGCCUGAAUCUCACGUGCCGGCGCAUGAGGGCGCGUGGAGCACUUUCCGGCCACGCACUUCCACCUCCAGCCUUGCCUGACGCCGUCUAGCCACCCUCCAUCUAUGUUUGUGCCAUCCGAGCCCUGAAAGUGCAUUUUUUGGGGUUUUUUGGUCUCUGCCGGCCCUCUAAACAGCCUUUCCGGCAACCUCUGGUGACUUCCUUUCCACCCCGAGCCCUGCAUGUGUCUUAGGAAGUGUUCUUCUACCCUUCCAACAGUGCCACAUUUGUUUUUCUUUACUAUUUGGUCUCUCACAGCCGCAGAUCCUCGGAUUUUUCUUCUUUCAGCCGCGAUCUGAAUCCGUAUUAGGGCUCUCUUUAAUCCAAACAUAUUUCGUUUUCCAGAUAAGUAGAUAUGGCUACUAAAAGUUCCACUUUUUCCUCUGUCAUAUCUGGAUCUCCUAUGAUUACUUUGGAGAAAUUGGUUGGCAGUGAAAAUUAUUUGUCCUAGUCUACCUCUGUGGAGCUUUGGUUUAUGGGUCAAGGUUAUGAGGAUCACCUUGUUAAGUAGGAGGCGGAUAUCCCUGAGGUUGACAGAGUACAAUGGAGGAAGAUAGAUGCACAGUUAUGUAGUGUGUUAUGGCAAUCAAGUGAUCCUAAGAUUUUGCUUCAUCUUCGGGCCUCCAAAACAUGCUUUAAAUUUUGGAAUCGGGCGAAAGGGCUAUACACAAAUGAUAUCCAACGUCUUUAUAAGGUGGCUUCUUCUAUUGUCAAUGUCAGACAACAAGACAUGGAUUUAUCUACUUAUAUUGGCCAGAUUGCCUCUCUUAAGGAGGAAUUCUUGACCGUGAUGCCUCUUACUACUGAUGUUGGGGAUCAACGAACACAGAUUGACAAGUUCUUCAUGGUUCUUACGCUUAUUGGCCUCUGUCCAGAUCUCGAGACCGUCCGAUAUCAGAUUCUUGGCAAUUCCUCUGUUCCAUCCUUGGAUGAUAUGUUUGCUCGCCUCCUCCGUAUCUCCUCCACUCGGCCUUUGCCAUCUGAUAACACUCCAGAUUCUUCUGUGUUAGUUUCUCAAACUAACUCUCGAGGAGGACGCAGUGGUAACCGAGGUAGAGGCCAACGUCCUCAUUGCACCUAUUGCAAUAAGCUUGGCCACACUCGUGAUCGGUGUUAUCAGUUACAUGGGCGGCCUCCCCGCACUGCCCACAUGGCCCAGUCAUCUGAUCCUCAGUCGCCUCAGCCUCCCAGUUCCUCCACAUUUCAGGGUAUUUUCCUCACUGACAAUGAGUAUGAUGACUAUCUCCGCUAUCAAGCCACCAAGUCAGCUUCUGUUGCCCAGACUGGUAAUGUUUCUGCUUGUCUUACCCACACAUCUUUUCUUGGACCUUGGAUUCUAGAUUCUGGCGCUUCUGAUCACAUAUCUGGUAAUAAGGAUUUUUUCUCUUCUAUUACUACUACCUCUGCCUUACCUACUGUUACUUUAGCUAAUGGUUCCCAAACUAUGGCUAAAGGUUUUGGUUUCGCUCAUCCUCUCCAUUCUGUCCUUUAUGCCCCUGAGUGUCCUUUUAAUCUUAUUUCCAUCAGCAAAAUAACUCGCACUCUUAACUGUUCUAUCAUUUUCUCUGAUAAAUUUGUGACCUUGCAGGACCGGAGUACGGGGAAGACGAUUGGCAUAGGACGUGAGUCUCAAGGCCUCUAUCACCUCACCUCGCCUUCAACUCCUGCAAUUUGCAUUUCCACUGAUGCUCCCCUCCUCAUCCACAGUCGCCUGUGCCACCCUAGUCUAUCCAAGUUCCAGAAAAUGGUCCCUCGUUUUUCAUCUUUGUCGUCGCUUGCGUGUGAGUCCUGUCAGCUUGGGAAACAUACUCGUGUCUCAUUCCCAAAGCGUUUGAAUAAUCGGGCAAAGUCUCCUUUUGAACUUGUCCACACUGAUGUUUGGGGUCCUUGUCGGACCGCAUCUACUUUAGGAUUUCAGUAUUUUGUCACUUUCAUUGAUGACUAUUCUCGAUGUACUUGGUUAUUUUUAAUGAAAAAUCGAGCUGAGUAAUUAUUCUCUAUUUUCCAGAAAUUUUAUGCUGAAAUCCAAACCCAGUUCAAUAUUUCUAUUCGUGUGUUGCGCAAUGACAAUGCCAGGGAAUAUUUUUCUGUACCAUUUACUUCAUUUAUGUCCCAACAUGGGAUCAUUCAUCAGUCUUCUUGUGCUCAUACUCCUCAACAAAAUGGGGUAGCUGAACGUAAGAAUCGACAUCUUGUUGAGACAACUCGUACUCUCCUUCUCCAUUGUCAUGUUCCUUUUCGUUUUUGGGGGGAUGCUGUUCUUACAGCAUGUUAUUUGAUUAAUCGUAUGCCCUCAUUUGUAUUACAUGAUCAGAUUCCUCAUUCCCUUCUUUUCCCUAACCAACCACUUUGGGCCUGUUUGUUUAGUGUUUUCAAGAACUGUUUUCUGUUCUUGAAAACAAAAAACACCAAAAACUUGUUUGGUUGAAAGAGUCAUUUUUGUUUUUGUUGUUCCCCGUGUUCUCAAAAUGGCACUAUUUAGAGAACAACAAAAUGUUGUUUUCCCCGUUUUUGUACUGUUUAUAGAACAAAAUUAAAGAACAAAAAACACAUCUGUUCUCCGUGUUUUUCUUUUUCUUCCCGUUCUCAUCUCUCUCCAGCACAGUCGCGGCGCCUCUUCUCCAGCACAGUCGCGACAUCUCCAGCAAGAAACAAAGGUAAUUUCCACAGAUGUUGAAGUUAUUUUUUAUAGAUCUAAUAAAAUAGGUUUUUUUUGGCAAUAUUUGUUGAGGGAAAUGUUAGAUCUGAUAAAGAGAUAUCAGUUAUGUUAUUCGAAUUUUUUUUUUAUCACCUGCUGUUAGUUUCUUUUUUUCCAGUUUAUAUUUUCCUGUUUGGAUGCUGAGAAAAGUAGGAAACGAGAAUGAAAAUAGAAUGAGAUCUGAGAUUUUUUUGAUCACCUGUUAGUUUUUUUUUUUUUCGUUUAUAUUUUCCUGUUUGGAUGCUGAGAAAAGUGGGGAACGAGAAUGAAAAUAAGCCCAAAAAUUCCUGAUUUUUUCCCGUUUUGAUUUUUGUUGAGUUGUUCUGUUAAAAAAAAACAAAAACCUUACUUAAAGACAUGGAAAUCAAACGGGAAAAUCCAAGCUUGAGUCUUGACGGAUGAAAUACCUCAAGGAAAAUGGAAAAAAUAAAGAGAAUCAGAAGAGGAUGAGGUGUUGAAUCACCAAGAACCUUUUCUCUCUGUAGAUCUGCUCUUCCUCUCUCUCAUCCAGACUCCAAAGCCCGGUUAACCUCUACUCUUUGGGCCUGUUUGGAUGCUGCACUAAACAAACAGACCUUAAGAGUUGGGGGUUGAAUGCAGCGUGAAGCAACAUACCCUCCACAUGUUUGAACUUUGAACCUGCCCUUUAUAAAUUCCAAAUUCCCACAGCUCACCAAACAUCCUUCAUAAAUUCCAAAUUGUUGUUGCAUGUUGUACCCUUCAUAAUUGGAUUCGUCUAUCAACUCGAAAUGAUCAAUUGUUUAGAGAAUAUGAGGUAGAAGACCUUUCAAUCGAAGGUGAAGAAGAGAGCACAAGUAGCAGAAACCAUUCAAUUGAUUUAUCAGAUGAGAGUGCAGCAGCUAUGGCAGCUUGAAGAGAUCAAAUUGCUGAAGUGAUGUGGGCAAAUUAUAUUAAUGUCAAUCCAUGACUUGUCUUAUUUUUAAUUUUAAAUAUUUGUCAACACUUUAGUGUUUUGUUAGAAUUUAUAUAUAUUUGUUAACUUAACUAGUUCUCAUUAGUGUUAUGUGAUGUUUGUUUUAAUUUCUAAUGAUUAAAUAUUGCUUAUAAAUUUAAUUUAUAAUUGUAAAAGUAGGAUGGACAAAAGACCCAUGUGAAAUACAUACAUCAUAUUUUAUUUUAUUUUUAAUAAUUUAUCAACUUAUAUAAAAAAUUUAAAAUUAAAUAAUUUUUUAAAUUUAAAUGAAAUGUGUAUUUAAAAAUAUUUAUAAAUUUAUAAUAUAAAGUUACUUGAAGAAAAUAUUUUAUUAAUUGAAAAAGAAAAAAAAACAUCUUUCAAACAUGUUUUUUUAUUAACUAAGCCAAACAUGUUUUUUUUUUGUUUUUGAGAACAAAAACUGUUUUUCAAAAUUCAGUUCCCAAACACAAUUUUUUUUCUAAAAACACUAAAAACUGUUCUUAAAAACUGUUCUCAAAAACUGUUUUCCAGAACAAUUUUUAAAAACAGCAACCAAACAGGCCCUUUAUUUCCUUCCUCCUCGUGUUUUUGGUUGUACUUGCUUUGUUCAUAUUCUCACUCCUGGACAAGACAAACUUUCUGCCAAAGCCAUAAAAUGCAUAUUCUUGGGAUAUUCCAGACUUCAAAAGGGUUAUCGUUGCUAUUCCUCUGAGACUCAUCGCUACUUUUCUCCGCUGAUGUCACUUUCUUUGAGGACUCACCGUUUUUCUCCACAUCUGAGUCUCUUCUUGUUUCUGAAGUCUUACCAUUCUCUCCCCACCUGAUCCAGUGCCUUCUCGUCCACUUCAAGUUUAUCAUCGCCGUCAUCGUGUCGCUGUUCCUCCUUCUUUGGCCGAGGUACCUGCUGACUCACUUCCUAUCCCUUCGGCUUCUCGUGCCCCGGCUCUGCCUCCUUCUGCUGACUUACUCAUUGCUCUUAAGAAAGUAAUCGAUCUACUCGUAAUCCUCAUCCCAUUUACAAUUUUUUGAGUUAUCAUCGAUUAUCUUCACCCUAUUCUGCAUUUGUUUCUGCUAUAUCUUCUGUUUCUCUUCCCAAGAGCACCUCUGAGGCUCUUUCCCAUCCAGGCUGGCGACAGGCAAUGGUAGAUGAAAUGGCUGCUUUACACUCCAAUGACACUUGGGAUCUUGUUGUUUUACCCUCUGGUAAAUCUACAGUUGGUUGUCGUUGGGUCUACACAGUUAAGGUUAGCCUUGAUGGUCAGGUUGAUCGCCUUAAGGCCCGCUUAGUUGCUAAAGGCUAUACUCAGGUUUAUGGUUCUGAUUAUGGUGACACUUUCUCUUUUGUUGCCAAGAUAACUUCUAUUCGUCUAUUGCUCUCCAUGGCUGCUAUGCGUUCUUGGCCUCUUUAUCAGUUAGAUAUUAAAAAUGAUUUCCUUCAUGGGGAUCUUGUUGAGGAAGUUUAUAUGGAGCAACCACCUGAUUUUGUUGCUCAAGGGGAGUCUGGUUUAGUGUGCAGGUUACGCCGUUCUCUAUAUGGCUUGAAACAAUUUCCUCGAGCAUGGUUUAGCCGUUUUAGUUCUGUUGUUCAGGAGUUUGGCAUGUUCCGCAGUACAGCUAACCAUUCCGUUUUCGAUCAUCAUAACUCUUCGGGGCAGUGUAUUUCUCUGAUAGUUUAUGUGGACGACAUCGUCAUUACAGGUAGUGAUCAGAAUGGUAUUCAGAAACUAAAGCAACACCUUUUCACCCACUUUCAGACUAAAGACUUUGGGAAACUCAAGUAUUUCUUAGGGAUUGAGAUAGCUCAAUCCAGUUCCGGUGUGGUUCUUUCCCAAAGGAAGUAUGCUUUAGACAUCUUGGAAGAAACCGGUAUGUUUGACUGUAAACCGGUAGACACUCCUAUGGAUCCAAAUGUCAAACUUAUACCAGGACAGGGGGAGCCUUUAGGAGAUCCUAGGAGAUAUCGGCGACUUGUAGGUAAACUGAACUACCUCACCAUUACUCGUCCAGACAUUUCUUUUCCUGUAAGUGUUGUUAGUCAAUUCCUACAAUCACCAUGUGAUAGCCAUUAGGAUGUCGUAAUCCGCAUUCUUCGAUAUAUCAAAAGCACACCAGGCUAGGGUGUGUUGUACGAGAACAGAGGUCAUACCCAGGUUGUUGGUUACACAGAUGCAGAUUAGGUUGGCUCACCUACAGAUAGAUGUUCCACUUCCGGGUAUUGUGUUUUUAUUGGAGGUAACCUAAUAUCCUGAAAGAGUAAGAAACAAGAUGUAGUGGCCAGAUCUAGUGCUGAAGCCGAGUAUCGAGCUAUGGCUUUGGCAACAUGUGAACUCAUAUGGCUGAAACAUCUUCUUCGAGAGUUGAGAUUUGGAAAGGAUGAACAGAUGAAGCUCAUCUGUGACAACCAAGCCGCUUUGCAUAUUGCAUCCAAUCCAGUCUUCCAUAAAAGGACCAAACACAUUGAAGUUGACCGUCACUUCAUUAGAGAGAAUAUCGCAUCAGGAUGUGUGGCUACUAGUUUUGUCAAUUCAAAUGAUCAACUAGCAGAUAUUUUUACUAAAUCUCUCAAAGGUCCUAGAAUUAAAUACAUUUGUAAUAAGUUUGGUGCAUAUAACAUAUAUGCUCCAGCUUGAGGGGGAGUGUUAGAUAGUGUACAGUUAUUUAGGUUAUUUACUUUUCUUUUCCUUUUCUUUCCUUAUUGUAUUGUGGGUCCCACUAACAUGUAUAUAUAUACCUAAGUCCAAUGUGUAUUAUUAACAGUUUUUCAAUAACAAGAAUUAGGGAUUCUCCCUUUUCUCUCUUUUCACACAAGUUUCUCCAAGGCUACACACAUUUUUGAGAUAAAAAAAAAUAAAAAAUAAAAAAUAAAAAAUAAAAAAUAAAAAAUAAAAAAUAAAAAAUAAACCCAAUUAGAUAGAUAGUUGAUGAGAGGACUUGAACCCGGGACUUCCAGUUAACAAUGCAUAUCAUGCUCCAAAAUGAAAAAUCCAAAGUUUCUUCGUCUUCCGUAGAAAUUGAUUCAUAUCUUUCCCUCCCUCUCACAUGA
RNAcentral lists this long non-coding RNA (7406 nucleotides) under Vitis vinifera (wine grape). Its description in RNAcentral is "long non-coding RNA (VVIN_LNC005843)". The record is from RNAcentral. Lineage: Eukaryota; Viridiplantae; Streptophyta; Magnoliopsida; Vitales; Vitaceae.